Long non-coding RNA from Diachasma alloeum, 1171 nucleotides. RefSeq lists it as uncharacterized. The record is from RefSeq and is a predicted model, not a curated record. NCBI's taxonomy places the organism in Eukaryota, Metazoa, Arthropoda, Insecta, Hymenoptera, Braconidae. The transcript is spliced from 3 exons.
ACAUAACCGGGGAUAUAUCACAGCCUCUGAUCUGCGCGCGGUGCUACAGUGUCUGGGUGAGGAUCUGUCUGAAGAGGAAAUUGAGGACAUGAUCAAGGAGGUGGACGAAGAUGGCGACGGGAGAAUCGAUUUCUACGAAUUUGCACGUUCACUGGUGGAGCCGGGGGAGGACGAGGACGAGGAGGAGGAUGAGGAAGAAACACCCCAGUCGCCGCCCUUCUAGGAUCCGUCGAGGCCACCAGUCCAUAUCCUCAAUUCCGAAAUAUUCUUAUUCAAUUUUAUUCGUUAGUCGAAAUAAACUGAUCGAUCUAAGAAUUUUAAACAUAAUUAUGAUGAUAACGUUGAUAUUUCAAAGCACUUUUAUUAGUCAUAAUUAAAUCAUUACUCCUAAAGCUCGAGCACACGAAGGGGAAACGAUCUCGAAUCAAGAAUAUUCUUCUUAAUUCAAGAAUUAUUCAGUAAUAAAUUGAAUUAAUAUGGAAUUAUCUUUGUGAUGAGCGGAUUUGUUAUGAACGAACGUCAAUUUUCGUCAAUUUUUGCAAAACAAAAAUUGAUGUCAUUUCGUGGAAAGAAAAAAACGCAUUGUUCUGGUUUUUUUAAAUUAAUGAAAGUAUUUUUCUUUCGAGAAUUGUUUUCUCCUCGUGAAUUUUGUCACUUCAUGAACGCACAGGCGUGCACUACACACGUGUAACUAUUUGUGUAUACAUAUGUAUGUAUCAUGUACAUUUAAUUAAUCAAUUAACCAAUUGCUCGCUUUCUCGUGAGUUUCAAUGGGUCUCCAUUACUGGAGGCAUCACCGUCUGCACGUAGUGAAAUUUCUAUUAUAAUUUACCCUCGAUUUUUAAUGAAAAUUGCAAUACUUCAGGCGCAUUCUCUCCGAACAUGUAAGAAUUUUCACAAGUCUUUUGCUGGAUUUUUUCGUAAAAAAACCUAGCGGAUGCGAUAAGAAAUUCUAUUGAAGGUCUAUGGAAUUUUCUAUUACUUUUUGGCCGAUUCGAUUGACAAAAUGCGUAGCUUUACCACACGUUUUUAAUAGGAAAUGUCCAAUACAAACUGUUUUAUAAAAAAAUCAGUUGAAUUUCAUCUUUCUGUACAACUUUUUCUCCAGGAAUUCCUUGAUAUGAAUUUUCAAUUUUUUCCCGCUCUAUUUUUCUCCUCUUUUCAUUGAAAU